AUGUGGUUAGCCAACAGUACCCCUAAAUCUCUAGUUUUCUGUAGAUCCUUGUGCUUCCUAUUUGUAGUAGUUAGUUUCUUCCUCUUUGUCCACAUUAGUAUGCCGAGGAAAGAGCGGCGGUCAGGCGUGGCAUACAUCCACAAUGACAAAGACCGUGAUCUCACCUUCUACAAGCGACGUUCCGGUUUGUUCAAGAGGGCGACUGACAUCUCUGCCCUCACUAGGGCUAGGGUUGCGGUCGUCCUAGAAACAAACAAUGGAAAGAUGCACUCAUUUGGGACGCCAUUGGCCGAUCCCAUUGUUGAUGCUUUCCUAUUUGGAGCUCCACCAGCAGUUACCUCUGCCGACGAGGCAACCACUGCCAGGAUUGGAAGCCUACAAAACGAGGUGGCUCAGUUGGACAUGGAGAACAUGACCGAGGAAGACAAAAACCAACUUUCCAUCCUUCGUAUGAAAAAUAUCCAAGAAGAGAAUCCAAGUAUGGUGGCAAAUCUUAUCUUCACGAAGGAAAAAGAUCUCAGUCUUGAAGAUCUGACCAAGCUCUUCAGUGAGCUCUCUCGGGUCCAAAAAGACAUUAGAUUGCGGCUACCUCCAUUGCAUGGUCGUGAAGACAUGACCGGUGGCACAUGUGUGGCACAAGCUCUGCAACUACCAAGUGCUGAGGAUCAUUUGGGUACUACUCAUUCACUUAUGCAGUCGUCGUGGCCUCACAAUCACUCACAACUCCAGCUACCUUCAGAUCCACUACCAUCACAACCAGAACAAACUUCGGCACCACCUUUUCCUAUGCAGGAACCACAAAUGUUCCAUUCUGCACCACCAUCUUUAGCUCCCUACUUGGCUUCCCAUGUCCAACCCAUACCAAAUCAGGUACAUGAGCAAACUCCACCAGAGGAGUUGCAUGUUCAGAACUAUGAAAGUCCUUGCAACAUAGUGCAACCACAACAAAAUGAUGCAAACCAUGACUCAACAUAUGGGCAAAAUUUGGAGGCCUCUCCACUAUUGGGGUACUCGAGUGGCAAUGCUUUUUCUAUUGAUGGCCCAUUUAACACUGAACAAUGGGGUUAUGCUCUAUCAGAUCUGUCGUGCUACAAUAGUUUCCUAGGGAUGGAUGCUUACUUAGGCUCUAGCAAUACGGAUCUAGGACAGUCUUCCAUGGUAAAUGGUGGCUGGGUUGAUGUGCCGCCCUCUUCCACUGGACAAGAUAUUGAUAUUCUUACAGACUAUGGAGAGCUGUUGUAG
RNAcentral lists this ribosomal RNA (1242 nucleotides) under Triticum aestivum (bread wheat). RNAcentral describes it as "partial small subunit ribosomal RNA". The record is from RNAcentral. Lineage: Eukaryota; Viridiplantae; Streptophyta; Magnoliopsida; Poales; Poaceae.